RNAcentral lists this unclassified non-coding RNA (142 nucleotides) under uncultured Dothideomycetes. Its description in RNAcentral is "sequence contains ITS1". The record is from RNAcentral. Lineage: Eukaryota; Fungi; Ascomycota; Dothideomycetes.
CCAAAGAUGGCGGCCUCCGGGCCCCGUCCCCAACCCAUUGUUGACCAACACCUUUUUGCCUCGGGGGCAGAGCGUCCGUCGCCGCCCCCGGAGGACCACCGAACGCUGUCUCUGUACGUCGGAGUAUUAAUGAAAUGAAUGA